RNAcentral lists this unclassified non-coding RNA (355 nucleotides) under soil metagenome. RNAcentral describes it as "partial contains 5.8S ribosomal RNA, internal transcribed spacer 2, and large subunit ribosomal RNA". The stretch from base 1 to 120 matches the Rfam family "5.8S ribosomal RNA", at positions 35 to 154 of the family's 154-position model. The record is from RNAcentral.
GAUGAAGAACGCAGCGAAAUGCGAUAAGUAAUGUGAAUUGCAGAAUUCAGUGAAUCAUCGAAUCUUUGAACGCACAUUGCGCCCAUUAGUAUUCUAGUGGGCAUGCCUGUUCGAGCGUCAUUAAGUCCACUUAAGCCCUGCUUAGUGUUGGGAGACUGCUCCAGCGGUGCUACCCUGUAGCUACCCUGCAGCUCCUCAAAGACAGCAGCGGAGUUGUGGUAUCCUCUGAGCUUAGUAACUUGUUCUAGCUUUCGAGUACACCACUUCCCCUGCCGUAAAACCCUUAAUUUUUAAUGGUUGACCUCGGAUCAGGUAGGAAUACCCGCUGAACUUAAGCAUAUCAAUAAGCGGAGGA